GAUGAACGCUGGCGGCGUGCCUAAUACAUGCAAGUCGAGCGAACAGACGAGGAGCUUGCUCCUUUGACGUUAGCGGCGGACGGGUGAGUAACACGUGGAUAACCUACCUAUAAGACUGGGAUAACUUCGGGAAACCGGAGCUAAUACCGGAUAACAUGUUGAACCGCAUGGUUCAACAGUGAAAGACGGUCUUGCUGUCACUUAUAGAUGGAUCCGCGCCGCAUUAGCUAGUUGGUAAGGUAACGGCUUGCCAAGGCAACGAUGCGUAGCCGACCUGAGAGGGUGAUCGGCCACACUGGAACUGAGACACGGUCCAGACUCCUACGGGAGGCAGCAGUAGGGAAUCUUCCGCAAUGGGCGAAAGCCUGACGGAGCAACGCCGCGUGAGUGAAGAAGGUCUUCGGAUCGUAAAACUCUGUUAUUAGGGAAGAACAAAUGUGUAAGUAACUAUGCACGUCUUGACGGUACCUAAUCAGAAAGCCACGGCUAACUACGUG
This 497-nucleotide ribosomal RNA is filed under the name uncultured bacterium. RNAcentral describes it as "partial 16S ribosomal RNA". It matches the Rfam family "Bacterial small subunit ribosomal RNA", at positions 28 to 507 of the family's 1533-position model. The record is from RNAcentral.